AGGGUUUGAUCCUGGCUCAGAACGUACGCUGGCGGCACGCCUAACACAUGCAAGUCGAACGAAGUAGCAAUACUUAGUGGCAGACGGGUGAGUAACAUGUAGGUAUCUACCCUUUGGCCUGGAAUAACACGAGGAAACUUGUGCUAAUACCGGAUAAGUCUUUACGGAGAAAGCUUUAUGCACCAUUGGAUGAGCCUGCACUUGAUUAGUUUGUUGGUGGGGUAAUGGCCUACCAAGACUGUGAUCAAUAGCUGAUUUGAGAGGAUGAUCAGCCACAUUGGGACUGAGACACGGCCCAAACUCCUACGGGAGGCAGCAGUGGGGAAUCUUGCACAAUGGAGGAAACUCUGAUGCAGCGAUGCCGCGUGAGUGAAGAAGGCCUUUGGGUUGUAAAGCUCUUUCGUCGGGGAAGAAAAUGACUGUACCCGAAUAAGAAGGUCCGGCUAACUUCGUGCCAGCAGCCGCGGUAAUACGAAGGGACCUAGCGUAGUUCGGAAUUACUGGGCUUAAAGAGUUCGUAGGUGGUUGAAAAAGUUGGUGGUGAAAUCCCAGAGCUUAACUCUGGAACUGCCAUCAAAACUUUUCAGCUAGAGUAUGAUAGAGGAAAGCAGAAUUUCUAGUGUAGAGGUGAAAUUCGUAGAUAUUAGAAAGAAUACCAAUUGCGAAGGCAGCUUUCUGGAUCAUUACUGACACUGAGGAACGAAAGCAUGGGUAGCGAAGAGGAUUAGAUACCCUCGUAGUCCAUGCCGUAAACGAUGUGUGUUAGACGUUGGAAAUUUAUUUUCAGUGUCGCAGCGAAAGCGAUAAACACACCGCCUGGGGAGUACGACCGCAAGGUUAAAACUCAAAUGAAUUGACGGGGACCCGCACAAGUAGUGGAGCAUGUGGUUUAAUUCGAAGAUACGCGCAGAACCUUACCAACACUUGACAUGUUCGUCGCGACUUUAAGAGAUUAAAGUUUUCGGUUCGGCCGGACGAAACACAGGUGCUGCAUGGCUGUCGUCAGCUCGUGUCGUGAGAUGUUGGGUUAAGUCCCGCAACGAGCGCAACCCUCACUUUUAGUUGCCAUCAUUAAGUUGGGCACUCUGAAAGAACUGCCAGUGAUAAGCUGGAGGAAGGUGGGGAUGACGUCAAGUCCUCAUGGCCCUUACGUGUUGGGCUACACACGUGCUACAA
RNAcentral lists this ribosomal RNA (1176 nucleotides) under uncultured bacterium. Its description in RNAcentral is "bacterial SSU rRNA". It matches the Rfam family "Bacterial small subunit ribosomal RNA", at positions 8 to 1230 of the family's 1533-position model. The record is from RNAcentral.